Small nucleolar RNA from Carcharodon carcharias (great white shark), 253 nucleotides. RefSeq annotates it as small nucleolar RNA SNORA53. The transcript has a single exon. NCBI's taxonomy places the organism in Eukaryota, Metazoa, Chordata, Chondrichthyes, Lamniformes, Lamnidae. The record is from RefSeq and is a predicted model, not a curated record.
CACAUGCUCCCUAGAUCCACCUUUGGGAUGUAGCUGUUGUGCCUUGCUGGUAAAUCUCUUUGCACCCUGGUGCUAGGUUCUCCGAUGUGCUGGCAGGUGACAUUCACCAGCUCUAGUGGCUGUACAGUCAAAGGUGCAAGGUCAUUGCCAUGGUAAUGUAAUAUACCUGCAUAGUUGCUCCUCUGUUCUGAUGUGAAUAACCUGUUACUCCAGGCUGUUUCUGCCAUCAGGAUCUUGCUGCUAUGUGGAUACA